UGAGCGUGCGGGCGAUACGGGCAGACUUGAGUACUGCAGGGGAGACUGGAAUUCCUGGUGUAGCGGUGGAAUGCGCAGAUAUCAGGAGGAACACCGGUGGCGAAGGCGGGUCUCUGGGCAGUAACUGACGCUGAGGAGCGAAAGCGUGGGGAGCGAACAGGAUUAGAUACCCUGGUAGUCCACGCCGUAAACGGUGGGUACUAGGUGUGGGUUUCCUUCCUUGGGAUCCGUGCCGUAGCUAACGCAUUAAGUACCCCGCCUGGGGAGUACGGCCGCAAGGCUAAAACUCAAAGAAAUUGACGGGGGCCCGCACAAGCGGCGGAGCAUGUGGAUUAAUUCGAUGCAACGCGAAGAACCUUACCUGGGUUUGACAUGCACAGGACGCCGGCAGAGAUGUCGGUUCCCUUGUGGCCUGUGUGCAGGUGGUGCAUGGCUGUCGUCAGCUCGUGUCGUGAGAUGUUGGGUUAAGUCCCGCAACGAGCGCAACCCUUGUCUCAUGUUGCCAGCGGGUAAUGCCGGGGACUCGUGAGAGACUGCCGGGGUCAACUCGGAGGAAGGUGGGGAUGACGUCAAGUCAUCAUGCCCCUUAUGUCCAGGGCUUCACACAUGCUACAAUGGCCGGUACAAAGGGCUGCGAUGCCGCGAGGUUAAGCGAAUCCUUUUAAAGCCGGUCUC
Molecule: ribosomal RNA, 675 nt
Filed under: uncultured bacterium
Lineage: Bacteria
Description: bacterial SSU rRNA
Rfam family: Bacterial small subunit ribosomal RNA
Source: RNAcentral